This is a non-coding RNA of Ilex paraguariensis (yerba mate), 73 nucleotides long. The record is from the annotation of a GenBank genome assembly. Lineage: Eukaryota; Viridiplantae; Streptophyta; Magnoliopsida; Aquifoliales; Aquifoliaceae.
GCUCUCAUAGUUCAGUUGGUAGAGCAUCCGUUUAGUAAGCAGGCAGUCUGGAGUUUAACUCUCAAUGAGAGCA